AAGACCUUGCGCUUUUGGAGCGGCCGAUGCCUGAUUAGCUAGUUGGUGGGGUAAUGGCCUACCAAAGCUUCGAUCAGUAGCUGGUCUGAGAGGACGGCCAGCCACACUGGGACUGAGACACGGCCCAGACUCCUACGGGAGGCAGCAGUGGGGAAUUUUGGACAAUGGGCGCAAGCCUGAUCCAGCCAUGCCGCGUGAGUGAAGAAGGCCUUCGGGUUGUAAAGCUCUUUCAGCCGGGAAGAAAAGGUUGCGAUUAAUAAUCGCAAUUUAUGACGGUACCGGAAGAAGAAGCACCGGCUAACUACGUGCCAGCAGCCGCGGUAAUACGUAGGGUGCGAGCGUUAAUCGGAAUUACUGGGCGUAAAGGGUGCGCAGGCGGUUUUGUAAGUCAGUUGUGAAAUCCCCGGGCUUAACCUGGGAACU
RNAcentral lists this ribosomal RNA (423 nucleotides) under uncultured bacterium. RNAcentral's name for it is "bacterial SSU rRNA". It matches the Rfam family "Bacterial small subunit ribosomal RNA", at positions 207 to 622 of the family's 1533-position model. The record is from RNAcentral.